CUCACGUGCAGCUUUAGUUGCAGCUUUAGUUGCAGGUGGACCGGUAUGUCGGGAUGGAAGCUGUGCUUUGUUCUGCUGCUGUACCUCCAGGUUUGCUUUAACAUUGAAGUGUAUGAAUAUAAAACCAUCGGGAGAGGACCUGACGUCACUCCCAUCUGCACCAAUACAACAGAGCAGGUCAUAACGCUCUUAGUGUGUAAGAUCAGAACUUACAGGACUGGAGGAGAGUGUCGUCUGCUGUAUCGAUACGGAGGAGACUUUGAGCAUGAAUGUGACUCCAGGUUCACACUUAAGAUGGAGAAUCACACCCUGUUUCUCCACCUGACUGGUCUCACACCAGUGGACAGUGGGAACCACACCUGUUGGUGUUCACGUGGUGGUGAGACGGUUACCCUCCAUCUGAAUAUCACUGUGGAAGAUGUUUCAGAGGAAGGAGAGAGAGAGAGCGGCGUGACGUCACACACGUGGGUUCUAAACGCGUUGAUCGCUGCAACAACAGUCAUUUCUAUAACUGCAGUUAUUUUGGGGUUGAUCUACAGGGGACAACGUCACAGAAGACAAACAGAACCUCACACCAGUCCUCAAAACACGGAGCCAGAAGCCAUCGAGCCGUACAGCACCUUCAUGCGGAGGGACAGCGUGCUUUAUUCAACUGUCGGCCCACACAACUGUCCCAACAACAGGAACCAAUCAAACACGUCCCCCACAGAGGACACACGUCCAGAGGCUCUUCUGUAGAGCUCGAGCUCUGCUGCUUCCAUUCCGGGUGAAGUGACACAUUUUGUCCACUAGAUGGCGCACUUCUGCUUUGUGAUGAUUGUAUCCUUCAAGUGUCAUUAAAUUGUACUGUAGUCAUCAUAAAAGACAAUAAAAUAUCUAAAAAAAAUAAACAGCUGAAGCGAAACACGUUGGUCACGUCUCUGAAUCAGUCUCAUAUUCCAUUUGGAAUAACUAACUAACUAACUAAUCAUGUUAUUGGCCUUUUCCCUAUUAAGAUAUUCCUGAUCUAAAAUGUGACCCCUGCUUGGUUCUUUGCGUCAUGAAUAUUCUGCCGAUGCCGAAUACUUUCAGGAACCUAAACCAGAAAUUGGCCGUGAACAACUCAUUGUCGCCAAUUUACAUUUACAUAUUUAACAAAAUAAAUGGUAUGAAUCAUAUGCUUAUGCAACCAUUGCAAGUUAACAUCUGUUUGUUUACACAACUGUUUCUUUCAUUUUCAGUCUGCCAAACUUUUAAUCCCUGUUAUUGUUCAUCUCUCUGGUGUUUUCCUGGGUUCCUCUUAAUUUACAGAGGAAGAAGGUCACACGUAUU
Pungitius pungitius (ninespine stickleback) is the source of this 1311-nucleotide long non-coding RNA. RefSeq lists it as uncharacterized. The transcript is spliced from 5 exons. NCBI's taxonomy places the organism in Eukaryota, Metazoa, Chordata, Actinopteri, Perciformes, Gasterosteidae. The record is from RefSeq and is a predicted model, not a curated record.